UCCACCAAAGGUAGAUUCAACCUACCAACAACAAUUAAUUCAAUAAAGAGAGUUCAAGCUUUCUUACCAUAAUUCAAAGCCAUAGCCAAAAUCACCAAAAAUCCAAGCAAUCACCAAUACUUCACUCAUAAGGCUUACCACCCUUAAUUCACCCAUUAUCAACAAUUAAUCAUGAAUAAAAAUUAAACAACACAAGAGAUAUCAAUACAAUUCACUUUACACAUAAUUCCAUCAACUUUGAAUUUAUAGAAAUAGACCCAC
RNAcentral lists this long non-coding RNA (261 nucleotides) under Solanum tuberosum (potato). RNAcentral's name for it is "long non-coding RNA (STUB_LNC008035)". The record is from RNAcentral. Lineage: Eukaryota; Viridiplantae; Streptophyta; Magnoliopsida; Solanales; Solanaceae.